Molecule: long non-coding RNA, 1103 nt
Organism: Heterocephalus glaber (naked mole-rat)
Lineage: Eukaryota; Metazoa; Chordata; Mammalia; Rodentia; Bathyergidae
Source: Ensembl
CCUUCAGAGCUGCUGUUCCCUCUGGUGUGGUGAUGUCCACUGACCCAGAUAGCAACUGUUCCAUCUGCCUGGAGCAAGGGCAUCAGGGACUGUGGUCCUCAGCCAAUCUGUAACAGCUUGAACUCCAGUCCCUGACCUCCUGAUGACUUGAACACAGUUCCCACACUGAGGCACCAGAAGCCACUAGAUGGAGUCUGCCCACAGCGGUUCUGAGUUCUGAGCUCAGUUGGCCCCUCUCCAAGAUGGCUACCAGCCAGUCAUCCUCUCCUGUGUGAGGGCUGAAUCCAGAUAACUCACCCGCCACUGCAGUCCGAUGUGUCCACUGCUCCAUUCCGCUGGUAUGAGACAGCAGAGGUGUUGACCAACCUACCAACUGCCUGGAUCAUGGAGAAGGCCUAUGCCCAGGGAGAGAAGAGCUUGCAACCCUCUGAGAUUACCUUUUCUCCUUGGAUGUUGUCUUCUUCCAAGAAAAGUUACAGGGCAACUGAGAAUUUGUGCCUUCUAAAGCCUUUGAGAGUCAAAAAAUAAGUUCGCCUGAAUCUAAUAACCCAGUGCCCUAACAACCCAAUCCCAGAAGAAACUAUGAAGAGGUUAUCAGGAGAGACACAGCAAGCCUUCCAGCGGGAGCUCCAAGACACCAUUUGUUCCCUAGAGGAAGCCAGAGUUGUAUUCCUUCUCACUGGAUCUGGUGCCUUAGGACAUACAGCACUUUCCCACAGUCAGGGCCCACCUAACAUCGUGGGAUGUCCCACAACAUCAGUAACUGAACCAAAUACUGCAAUCACAUAAGCUGCACUGACUAAGGAUGGUGGACACAAGUCUCAGAAAAAGGGGUAGCACAUUAUCACUAGGCAGUCCAGGUAUGGUAAUCAAGAAAUACAGCCUGUUCGAAGGCUGGACAGCAAAGAGAAGUGUCAGUCAAAGCAUUUAAAGGGAGGCUUCUCAAGCCCAGCUUGAACACGCAGUGUUAUGUCCUCAUGCGUGACAUAGGCCUGUUCCGUUUCAGGACUGCUGUCUGUCCUCCUCACCAUGCACAGGGGACAGCUCUGACUCUGUGAGCCUUGGGCUCCUUUUCUUUUUUAUAGUUUUGAAACAAAAUUGAG